GAUGAACGCUGGCGGCGUGCCUAAUACAUGCAAGUCGAGCGAACAGACGAGGAGCUUGCUCCUCUGACGUUAGCGGCGGACGGGUGAGUAACACGUGGAUAACCUACCUAUAAGACUGGGAUAACUUCGGGAAACCGGAGCUAAUACCGGAUAAUAUAUUGAACCGCAUGGUUCAAUAGUGAAAGACGGUUUUGCUGUCACUUAUAGAUGGAUCCGCGCCGCAUUAGCUAGUUGGUAAGGUAACGGCUUACCAAGGCGACGAUGCGUAGCCGACCUGAGAGGGUGUUCGCCCAACCGGAACCUGAGACCCGGCCAGGCCUCCUAGGGAGGGAGGAGGAGGGAAACCUUCCGCAAGGGGGGAAGGCUGAAGGAACCAACGCGGGGGAGGUGAUAAAGGCUUCCGAAUGGAAAAACGCUGUUAUAGGGAAAAAACAAAGGGGAAAGAAACAAGGACCGUCUGAAGGUAACCAAUCCAGAAGCCCCGGCCAACUUAGUG
Molecule: ribosomal RNA, 496 nt
Filed under: uncultured bacterium
Lineage: Bacteria
Description: partial 16S ribosomal RNA
Rfam family: Bacterial small subunit ribosomal RNA
Source: RNAcentral